GAUGAGUAGGGCGGGACACGUGGUAUCCUGUCUGAAUAUGGGGGGACCAUCCUCCAAGGCUAAAUACUCCUGACUGACCGAUAGUGAACCAGUACCGUGAGGGAAAGGCGAAAAGAACCCCGGCGAGGGGAGUGAAAAAGAACCUGAAACCGUGUACGUACAAGCAGUGGGAGCCUCUUUUAUGGGGUGACUGCGUACCUUUUGUAUAAUGGGUCAGCGACUUAUAUUCUGUAGCAAGGUUAACCGAAUAGGGGAGCCGAAGGGAAACCGAGUCUUAACCGGGCGUUAAGUUGCAGGGUAUAGACCCGAAACCCGGUGAUCUAGCCAUGGGCAGGUUGAAGGUUGGGUAACACUAACUGGAGGACCGAACCGACUAAUGUUGAAAAAUUAGCGGAUGACUUGUGGCUGGGGGUGAAAGGCCAAUCAAACCGGGAGAUAGCUGGUUCUCCCCGAAAGCUAUUUAGGUAGCGCCUCGUGAAUUCAUCUCCGGGGGUAGAGCACUGUUUCGGCAAGGGGGUCAUCCCGACUUACCAACCCGAUGCAAACUGCGAAUACCGGAGAAUGUUAUCACGGGAGACACACGGCGGGUGCUAACGUCCGUCGUGAAGAGGGAAACAACCCAGACCGCCAGCUAAGGUCCCAAAGUCAUGGUUAAGUGGGAAACGAUGUGGGAAGGCCCAGACAGCCAGGAUGUUGGCUUAGAAGCAGCCAUCAUUUAAAGAAAGCGUAAUAGCUCACUGGUCGAGUCGGCCUGCGCGGAAGAUGUAACGGGGCUAAACCAUGCACCGAAGCUGCGGCAGCGACACUGUGUGUUGUUGGGUAGGGGAGCGU
Molecule: ribosomal RNA, 831 nt
Filed under: Escherichia coli
Lineage: Bacteria; Pseudomonadati; Pseudomonadota; Gammaproteobacteria; Enterobacterales; Enterobacteriaceae
Description: partial 23S ribosomal RNA
Rfam family: Bacterial large subunit ribosomal RNA
Source: RNAcentral